GGAUUCCCUAGUCACUGCGAGUGAAGCGGGAAAAGCUCAAAUUUAAAAUCUGGCGGUCCCUGUGGUCGUCCGAGUUGUAAUUUAAGAAGCGUUAUCCGCGCUGGACCGUACACAAGUCUCCUGGAAUGGAGCGUCAUAGAGGGUGAGAAUCCCGUCUUUGGUACGGACUGCCAGGGCAUUGUGAUGCGCUCUCAAAGAGUCGAGUUGUUUGGGAAUGCAGCUCAAAAUGGGUGGUAAAUUCCAUCUAAAGCUAAAUAUUGAGGAGAGACCGAUAGCGAACAAGUACCGUGAGGGAAAGAUGAAAAGAACUUUGGAAAGAGAGUUAAACAGUACGUGAAAUUGCUGAAAGGGAAACGCUUGAAGUCAGUCGCGUCGUCCAGGACUCAGCCUUGCUUUUGCUUGGUGUACUUCUUGUUCGACGGGUCAACAUCAAUUUUGGUCGGUGGAUAAAGGCUUGGAGAAUGUGGCAUCCUCGGAUGUGUUAUAGCUCUAGGUCGCAUACAUCGGCUGGGAUUGAGGAACUCAGCACGCCGCAAGGCCGGGUACUUGUACCACGUACGUGCUUAGGAUGUUGGCAUAAUGGCUUUAAUCGACCCGUCU
Molecule: ribosomal RNA, 600 nt
Filed under: leaf litter basidiomycete sp. MSG18
Lineage: Eukaryota; Fungi; Basidiomycota
Description: LSU rRNA
Rfam family: Eukaryotic large subunit ribosomal RNA
Source: RNAcentral